RNAcentral lists this ribosomal RNA (497 nucleotides) under uncultured bacterium. RNAcentral describes it as "partial 16S ribosomal RNA". It matches the Rfam family "Bacterial small subunit ribosomal RNA", at positions 28 to 507 of the family's 1533-position model. The record is from RNAcentral.
GAUGAACGCUGGCGGCGUGCCUAAUACAUGCAAGUCGAGCGAACGGACGAGAGGCUUGCUUCUCUGAUAUUAGCGGCGGACGGGUGAGUAACACGUGGAUAACCUACCUAUAAGACUGGGAUAACUUCGGGAAACCGGAGCUAAUACCGGAUAAUAUUUUGAACCGCAUGGUUCAAAAGUGAAAGACGGUCUUGCUGUCACUUAUAGAUGGAUCCGCGCUGCAUUAGCUAGUUGGUAAGGUAACGGCUUACCAAGGCAACGAUGCAUAGCCGACCUGAGAGGGUGAUCGGCCACACUGGAACUGAGACACGGUCCAGACUCCUACGGGAGGCAGCAGUAGGGAAUCUUCCGCAAUGGGCGAAAGCCUGACGGAGCAACGCCGCGUGAGUGAUGAAGGUCUUCGGAUCGUAAAACUCUGUUAUUAGGGAAGAACAUAUGUGUAAGUAACUGUGCACAUCUUGACGGUACCUAAUCAGAAAGCCACGGCUAACUACGUG